RNAcentral lists this ribosomal RNA (328 nucleotides) under uncultured Bacteroidota bacterium. Its description in RNAcentral is "bacterial SSU rRNA". It matches the Rfam family "Bacterial small subunit ribosomal RNA", at positions 568 to 898 of the family's 1533-position model. Lineage: Bacteria; Pseudomonadati; Bacteroidota. The record is from RNAcentral.
UGCGUAGGCGGCCUUGUAAGUCAGUGGUGAAAUACUCCAGCUUAACUGGAGGGGUGCCAUUGAUACUGCAGGGCUUGAGUUAAGUUGAAGUUGGCGGAAUUGACGGUGUAGCGGUGAAAUGCUUAGAUAUCGUCAAGAACACCGAUAGUGAAGACAGCUAACUAAACUUUUACUGACGCUGAGGCACGAAAGUGUGGGGAUCAAACAGGAUUAGAUACCCUGGUAGUCCACACUGUAAACGUUGAUUACUCGCUGUGUGCGAUAUACAGUACGCGGCCAAGCGAAAGCGAUAAGUAAUCCACCUGGGGAGUACGCCGGCAACGGUGAA